Molecule: non-coding RNA, 72 nt
Organism: Cervus elaphus (red deer)
Lineage: Eukaryota; Metazoa; Chordata; Mammalia; Artiodactyla; Cervidae
Source: the annotation of a RefSeq genome assembly
UCCCUGGUGACUCAGCUGGUAAAGAAUCUGUCUGGAAUACAGGAGACCCAGGUUCAAUCCCUGGCUGGGGAA